RNAcentral lists this unclassified non-coding RNA (1333 nucleotides) under Hevea brasiliensis (rubber tree). Lineage: Eukaryota; Viridiplantae; Streptophyta; Magnoliopsida; Malpighiales; Euphorbiaceae. The record is from RNAcentral.
UCAACACCGCCUUAUGGAUCAUCGUCUCCUUGUGUAUUUGGUGACAGCUCUUUUCAACAAGAUCAAGCAGUUUCUCCAAGUUCAUUGCCCAUGAAUUGAGAAUGUCAUUGCUGUCCUUCGAUGUCUGGAAGCUGACAAUGCCCAUCGGCCUGUCGAUCUUUGCCACUAAAGCCUUGGAAACAACCAUUUCGGAAAGAUGCUUCUCUGCUUCCUGGAGAUUGAGACACAGCAGCUCUGCAAGUCUCUUCAACGUAAUCCUCGAGUAGUACUUCGACACCACAAGAAUAUUAUGCUCGAUUAUCCUUUGUUUAAGAUCUUCUGCAGCCUUCUCGACCAAAGAGCCACCUAACAAGUUCUUCUCAUUCUCAAACUCAUCCUUGUAAUCAUUCCAUAGAGCUGUCCAUUGGAUGACCUCCAUAGUAACUAGCUGUUUCAACAACAACCUGAAAUUUGGGAUCUCUGAAAGAUUUUUUUCUUCCAAGAUGGAAUUAAGAAGGCUCGACUGCAUGGGAUCGUGUGGUGACAGAACUAGGUACCAACAGAUUUUCCUCAGGACUGGUAUCCAAUGAGCUGAGUUUUCCUUGACAGACGGAAUAUCAUAUAUUGAUUUGUAGCAGCGACAAAUUUCAAGGUAAUCCUUGUGGUGGGAAUAAUACCUUAUCAUCAAUUCAUAGUAAAUACGCUUCAACUCCAUUAACGAUGGGAUAUCAGCUGGAGCCUCCUCAACAAUAUUAUCGCCUUCUUUAGGUUUCUUCUUCUCCUUUGUAGGAUCGGCAUCAAAAACUCUUGGACUGAUUUUCCUUGAUAGGAUCUGAGCACGAACAUAAUCCUGACGGUCUAAACACAGACGAACUUGCUCAAGAAUGAAUGCAAUUUUUUCAGUUUUAGCCAUGGCACCAAAAGUUUCCACAGCAAUUUCUUGCAUCAAGUCAGCAGCUUCUGCAAUAAGCCCCUGUUCUUCUUUGAUUUUUGCCAAUUUCUUGAUUAACCGGGCUCUCUCGAUUUCCACAUAUAUCUUUCCUGCAGACACAUUGUUAAGCGUCUUGAUAAGCUCUAUUUUGGUCUCGAUGUCUGGUGUUUCAUCAAUGUAUUGCAUCGCUUGUUGAACCAUUGCAGUUACAGCCUGUUUGAGUUGUCCACGGCGUUUGGAUAAGAGCACAAUCUGGUCAUUCAGAGUCCUCCAUGCUUUCGCAUCAAAGCAGAGCUGUAAAAUGUCAGUGGCGGCUUUCUUGGUGCCGGCCACAUCUCCGGCGAGCCGCAUCUGCUUCUCGACAUUGAGCAGUUGCUCUAUGGCUGCCUCUAAAUUACGUUCACCAUCCAUUUCUUCAAUUGG